GGGUUUUGUUGCUUAGUGCGCUGGUCUGUCUAGGCGGGGAGGAUCGGGUCGUGCUGCACCUCGGGCGAUGGCGCUAGCAGUCUCAGGGUUGGAGCGCGGAUCUCUUGGUCGCAGCUGAAAGGACAGGCAGGCACCAGAGGCGUGGUGCCGCCGCCGGCGGUGCUCAGCCGGUCUUGGAGAAGAAGGCUUGGCCGCGCGGCGGCCGGAACGAGGGCAGGAGCAGCGGGCUGGUGGAUAGGGGCAAGCAACCGCCGCUUUGCACAGAUCUCGACUUGUCUAGGGGCUAGAGUUCUCCCCGCAAGAUCUGGUGAUCCGGGGCACAUGCAUAGUUUUGAAGGAUAUCCUGUGGAGAAAGUUGAUGCUACUCCCGAGAGUUUUGCUCCAUCUAUCGCAGCCCUACAUCUGCCGUCGGGCGCGUGACGGAGAUGAGUUAAGCAUUUAGUGGCUUGGAGGAAAUAGAUAGGGAUUCCAUGGUUUACUGUGGGGCGACGUGCGUGAGGUAAAGGCGGCCGCCAUGCUGUACUGCUGUCUUGAUCGGGUCGACAUGCAUCAGGCCAUAGCAAAUCGGAUAUGUGAUGGAAUCAACUCAGUACCAAUUACGUGAAUGGCAUCAGUCUCUCGGAGAGUGUACCUCAGCGAUUGCUGUUCUAGUCCUCAGUUAGCAAAUACAGAUGGGUACUCCAAUAAAAUCCGACUAGAAGGCUGCCUUGCACUUGUCAGCAUGGAGUUUCAAUAUCACCUGAUCUGUCUGGUUCAUUAUGGUCAACAAAAGCCUUAAUGGCUAAACAAGGCUUCAGUUUUGUUAUAUGUUUGUGUUUUACUGAUGAAUUUGCAAUCACAUGCAUCCCUAAUUCAUGA
Molecule: long non-coding RNA, 858 nt
Organism: Brachypodium distachyon (stiff brome)
Lineage: Eukaryota; Viridiplantae; Streptophyta; Magnoliopsida; Poales; Poaceae
Exons: 2
Source: RefSeq, a predicted model, not a curated record